UGCAGUCGAACGAAGUAGCAAUACUUAGUGGCAGACGGGUGAGUAACAUGUGGGUAUCUUGCCCUUUGGCCUGGAAUAACACGAGGAAACUUGUGCUAAUACCGGAUAAGUCUUUACGGAGAAAGCUUUAUGCACCAUCGGAUGAGCCCGCACUUGAUUAGUUUGUUGGUAGGGUAAUGGCCUACCAAGACUGUGAUCAAUAGCUGAUUUGAGAGGAUGAUCAGCCACAUUGGGACUGAGACACGGCCCAAACUCCUACGGGAGGCAGCAGUGGGGAAUCUUGCACAAUGGAGGAAACUCUGAUGCAGCGAUGCCGCGUGAGUGAAGAAGGCCCUUGGGUUGUAAAGCUCUUUCGUCGGGGAAGAAAAUGACUGUACCUGAAUAAGAAGGUCCGGCUAACUUCGUGCCAGCAGCCGCGGUAAUACGAAGGGACCUAGCGUAGUUCGGAAUUACUGGGCUUAAAGAGUUCGUAGGUGGUUGAAAAAGUUGGUGGUGAAAUCCCAGAGCUUAACUCUGGAACUGCCAUCAAAACUUUUCAGCUAGAGUUUGAUAGAGGAAAGCAGAAUUUCUAGUGUAGAGGUGAAAUUCGUAGAUAUUAGAAAGAAUACCAAUUGCGAAGGCAGCUUUCUGGGUCAUUACUGACACUGAGGAACGAAAGCAUGGGUAGCGAAGAGGAUUAGAUACCCUCGUAGUCCAUGCCGUAAACGAUGUGUGUUAGACGUUGGAAAUUUAUUUUCAGUGUCGCAGCGAAAGCGAUAAACACACCGCCUGGGGAGUACGACCGCAAGGUUAAAACUCGAAUGAAUUGACGGGGACCCGCACAAGUAGUGGAGCAUGUGGUUUAAUUCGAAGAUACGCGCAGAACCUUACCAACACUUGACAUGUUCGUCGCGACUUUAAGAGAUUAAAGUUUUCGGUU
Molecule: ribosomal RNA, 919 nt
Filed under: uncultured marine bacterium
Lineage: Bacteria
Description: bacterial SSU rRNA
Rfam family: Bacterial small subunit ribosomal RNA
Source: RNAcentral